RNAcentral lists this ribosomal RNA (1382 nucleotides) under uncultured bacterium. RNAcentral describes it as "bacterial SSU rRNA". It matches the Rfam family "Bacterial small subunit ribosomal RNA". The record is from RNAcentral.
GAAUUCGCCCUUAGAGUUUGAUCCUGGCUCAGGACGAACGCUGGCGGCGCGCCUAACACAUGCAAGUCGAACGAGCGAGAGAAAGCUUGCUUUCUCGAGCGAGUGGCGAACGGGUGAGUAACGCGUGAGGAACCUGCCUCAAAGAGGGGGACAACAGUUGGAAACGACUGCUAAUACCGCAUAAGCCCACGGGUCGGCAUCGACCAGAGGGAAAAGGAGCAAUCCGCUUUGAGAUGGCCUCGCGUCCGAUUAGCUAGUUGGUGAGGUAACGGCCCACCAAGGCAACGAUCGGUAGCCGGACUGAGAGGUUGAACGGCCACAUUGGGACUGAGACACGGCCCAGACUCCUACGGGAGGCAGCAGUGGGGAAUAUUGCACAAUGGGGGAAACCCUGAUGCAGCGACGCCGCGUGGAGGAAGAAGGUCUUCGGAUUGUAAACUCCUGUUGUUGAGGAAGAUAAUGACGGUACUCAACAAGGAAGUGACGGCUAACUACGUGCCAGCAGCCGCGGUAAAACGUAGGUCACAAGCGUUGUCCGGAAUUACUGGGUGUAAAGGGAGCGCAGGCGGGAAGACAAGUUGGAAGUGAAAUCUAUGGGCUCAACCCAUAAACUGCUUUCAAAACUGUUUUUCUUGAGUAGUGCAGAGGUAGGCGGAAUUCCCGGUGUAGCGGUGGAAUGCGUAGAUAUCGGGAGGAACACCAGUGGCGAAGGCGGCCUACUGGGCACCAACUGACGCUGAGGCUCGAAAGUGUGGGUAGCAAACAGGAUUAGAUACCCUGGUAGUCCACACUGUAAACGAUGAUUACUAGGUGUUGGAGGAUUGACCCCUUCAGUGCCGCAGUUAACACAAUAAGUAAUCCCCCUGGGGAGUACGACCGCAAGGUUGAAACUCAAAGGAAUUGACGGGGGCCCGCACAAGCAGUGGAGUAUGUGGUUUAAUUCGACGCAACGCGAAGAACCUUACCAAGUCUUGACAUCCUACGACGCACAUAGAAAUAUGUGUUUCCUUCGGGACGCAGAGACAGGUGGUGCAUGGUUGUCGUCAGCUCGUGUCGUGAGAUGUUGGGUUAAGUCCCGCAACGAGCGCAACCCUUACUGUCAGUUACUACGCAAGAGGACUCUGGCAGGACUGCCGUUGACAAAACGGAGGAAGGUGGGGAUGACGUCAAAUCAUCAUGCCCUUUAUGACUUGGGCUACACACGUACUACAAUGGCGUUAAACAAAGAGAAGCAAGACCGCGAGGUGGAGCAAAACUCAGAAACAACGUCCCAGUUCGGACUGCAGGCUGCAACUCGCCUGCACGAAGUCGGAAUUGCUAGUAAUCGUGGAUCAGCAUGCCACGGUGAAUACGUUCCCGGGCCUUGUACACACCGCCCGUCA